This 1346-nucleotide long non-coding RNA is filed under the name Sus scrofa (pig). Its description in RNAcentral is "lncRNA (ENSSSCG00015020480.1, ENSSSCG00040002767.1)". Lineage: Eukaryota; Metazoa; Chordata; Mammalia; Artiodactyla; Suidae. The record is from RNAcentral.
ACUAUAUAGUGAAAAAAUCAAAAUCAGGAUAUAAAUAUAAUAUUAAGACAACAAAAGGACCAGUAGUGAGUAUGUAUAUAAUAUAUGUGAACUCAGGGUGGGGGGGUAUAUGUAUAUGAAGAAGAGUUAAAUCCUCAUCAUCCAGGGUGGCUAAUCAAUAGUUAACAGCCAACAUUGUGGUGGCUGUGGUUUAGGCCAGCAGCUGCAGCUCUGAUUCAACCCCAGGCCUAGAACUUUCAUAUGCCACAGGUACAGCCCUAAAAAAGAAAAAAGAAAGAAAGAAAAGAAAAGAUAAUGGCUAAAACUUAAAAAUAAAAAAGCUAGGAGCUCUCUUAUAGCAGGUUGAGGAUUCGGCAUUGUCACUGCAGCAGCUGGGAUCACUAUUAUGGGGCAGACUCAAUCUCCUGCCCAGGAACAUGCUGCAGGUGUGGCCAAAAAAAAAAAAGAAAAAAAAAGAGAGGCUAUACUAGCAUAUAAUUUAAAUAUAUGGAGUUAACAGAAUAAUCAAAUGGAAAUUCAAAGUGAUUUAGUUGCCUUUGAGAGUGGAAAACUAAGGGGUAAGGGAAAUCAGACAUGUGAGUUUUUUCUUUUUUCUUUUUUUUCUUUUUUUGGUCUUUUUGCCUUUUUAGGGCCGAACCCAUGGCAUGUGGCCCUAGAAAUGACAAAACAAACAAACAAAAAAAGUACAAAAAUGGGGAUGGGGAGAUUUCUAAAUAUGAAUGAAAAGCAUAUUCCCUACAUCCAAAUGUUAUUGUAAAUAAACAAUAGGCAGCCAUCUAGUAUAAAACUGUAACAUCGUCAGCUAGAAUCUCUGAGACUGGGGCACUGUUUACAGAAGGAAUAAGUCUUUAGUUCCAUCCCUACCAAUGGAUAAGACUGAAACUACUGCACUACCAAAACCUGAAAUGUAGUAUAACAAAGAUGGGUCCUAACUAUCUAUGCUUCCACCAAACUGUAGCCUUCCUCUAACCUACACUGUAAGUCUAUAUGACAAGCCCUGAAUCCUGUUAGAACAGGAGUCUUGUCCUGAACAUCAAGCCUUUAGUUCAGGUCCUGCUCCAAUCUGAACCAACCAUCAGGGGACCACAAUGCUAAUAUCUGUCCACCCAAAUAACUACCUAGAGGUUUCCUGCUGAAAUGCUCUGACUACCAUUUUGGAUUCCAACCCUCUGAAGCCCAAGCCAGAUCGGGCAUAUAUCUGCUCUGUCCCCUAUCCCCAAACAUGAAUUUUAGGCCAGUGGUUUUCAAGCCUUUAGAAGAGUUUAUACUCUUAAAAGUACUAAAGAUCCAAAGAGCUUUAGUUAAUUUAUUCACUACCUUAGAAAGUAAACUUAAAAACUUUUAAA